This 468-nucleotide ribosomal RNA is filed under the name uncultured bacterium. RNAcentral describes it as "partial 16S ribosomal RNA". It matches the Rfam family "Bacterial small subunit ribosomal RNA", at positions 28 to 507 of the family's 1533-position model. The record is from RNAcentral.
GACGAACGCUGGCGGCGUGCUUAACACAUGCAAGUCGAACGGAAAGGCCCUGCUCUUGUUGGGUGCUCGAGUGGCGAACGGGUGAGUAACAUGUGAGUAACCUGCCCUUGACUUUGGGAUAACUUCAGGAAACUGGGGCUAAUACCGGAUAGGAGCUCCUGCUGCAUGGGGGGGGUUGGAAAGUUUCGGCGGGUGGGGAUGGACGCGCGGCUUAUCAGCUUGUUGGGGGGGUAGUGGCUUACCGAGGCUUUGACGGGUAGCCGGCCUGAGAGGGUGACCGGCCACAUUGCGACUGAGAUACGGACCAGACGCCAACGGGAGGCAGCAGGGGGGAAUAUUGCCCAGUGGGCGGAAGCGUGAGGCGACAGCGCCGCGGGCGGAAAGACGGCCUGCGAGUUGUAAACCGUUUCCGCCUGUGACGAAGCGUGAGUGACGGUAAUGGGUAAAGAAGCACCGGCUAACUACGUG